RNAcentral lists this long non-coding RNA (3520 nucleotides) under Capsicum annuum. RNAcentral describes it as "long non-coding RNA (CANN_LNC010823)". The record is from RNAcentral. Lineage: Eukaryota; Viridiplantae; Streptophyta; Magnoliopsida; Solanales; Solanaceae.
UUAAACCCAAAACCCCUCCUCCCAUAAUAUAUAUAUAUAUAUAUAGAGAGAGAGAGAGAGAGAUGUAGGUAUAUAUGUAUAAAUACUGCAGAAACUUCCUUAUAAGGCUCAGAUCAUUAUUAUAACCACAGCAAAGGAGACAUCGCAUCCAUUGUGGCAGCAGACCUCAGUUGCACAUAAAAUAUAGUACCUUCCGGGUCACCCCGCCACGCUAUGGGCCUUGCUCCUUUGCCCCAUGAACUCUAGACAACUUAACCAUCACAGCCUCUCAUCCAUAACAGCAACAAUAACAGCAGCCAAAACCCUUUUCAAGGAUUCAUAUAUGAUGAUGAGGAGGAGGAGGAAAAAGCAGCAGCAGCAAAAGGGUCAAAUCUUUAACCCUAAACCUUUCUUACCAAUAUAUAUACACACACACACACAUAGAGAGAGAGAGAUGGUAUGUGUAUCUGUAUACAUACUGCAGUAACUUCCGAUUAUAAGGAUCAGAUCCGUAUAAUCAGGGCAAAGUAAACAAUGCAUCCGCCAUGGCUGCAGACCUCAAUUGCACUACAACUAUAGUGUCUUCUGGGUCGCCCCGCCAAGAUACAGACCCAGCUCCUUUACCCCAUGAAUUCUAGACACCUCAAUCAUCGCACCCUAUCAUCCAUAAAAUCAACAACAAUAUCAUCAUCAACAUCAUCAUCAACAACAGCAAAAACCCAUAUCACGGAUUUCGACGCGGAAAAAGAAGAAGAAGAAGAAGUAGCAACAAAAGGGUCAAAAUCUUAUGCCCUUCAUUCCUUUAUGUAUGUUAUAUAUAUGUAUGUAUGUAUGUGUCUGUAUACAUACUGCAAAAUCGUUUCAAUUUUCAUCAAAAGUUUCAAUGCAACAGCUUUACCAAACGACCCUUAAGAAAAAUGGUGGUUUAUUGUUUCACCCUUUUUUUAGCUGGAAAAUGGAAAUCAACGGCGAAACAGAGAGAGGGCAACCACCAUUAAAAGACUCCCCAAUAUCUCUCUGUUUGCCUCAUUUCAAGGAUUCAUAUAUAUAUAUAUAUAUAUAGAGAGAGAGAGAGAGAGAGAGAUGUAUGUGUAAGUGUAUGUGUAUACAUACUGCAGUUAACUUCCCGAUUAUAAGGCUCAGAUCAGUAUAAUCAGAGCAAAGGAGACAAUGCAUCCGCCAUGGCUGCAUACCUCGGUUGCACUACAAACAGUACCUUCCAGGUCGCCCCGCCAAGAUACGAACCCAGCUCCCUUGCCCCAUGAACUCUAGACAGCUUAAUCAUCACAGCCUCUCAUCCAUAACACCAAACACAUCAACACCACCAAUAAUAAUAACAACAACUACAAUUUCAAUGCCAGCAAAACUCUUUCGAAGGAUGAUGAUGACAAUGAAGAAACAGCAAAAGGUUUAGGGUUUGGCCUCAGCUGCACUAAAGACCAGCUCAGACCUCAUCUGCCAAGGCUGCAGACCUCAGCUGCUCUACAAACAGUACCUUCCCGGUCCCCCCACCAAGAUACAGAGCCAGCUCCCCUUUGCCCCAUGAACUCUAGACACCUUAUAGCCUGUUUGGUCAAACUUAUAAAAUCAGCUUAUUUUUAGAAGUGCUUAUUUCAAUUUUCAAAAGUGUUGUUCUAAAAAAGCAGUUUUGGUGACAAGCAAUUUGUAUUUGGCUAAUAAAUUUAAAAAGCAAUUUUUGAGCAACAAUUAGUGGUUGGCCAAACUUUUUAAAAGUACUUUUUAAGUUUUCUCAAAAGUGCUUUUAGGGAAAAGCUACUUUUUUAGCUUAUGAAAAAACUGUUUUUUUCAAACUCCCCAAAAGCACUUAUUUUCUUUCAAAAGCUUGGCCAAACACCUCAUUUUUUUAAAAAAUAAGAGCACUUUUUAGAAAAAAUAAGCACUUCUGAAGAAAAAUAAGCUUGGCCAAACAGGCUAUUAAUCAUCACAGCCUCUCAUCCAUAACGACGACAGCAACAUACCCAAUGAAAUCCCACAAGUGGUGUAUGGGAAGGGAAGGGAGUACGCAGACCUCACCACUACCUCGUGGAGGGAGAGAGGCUGUUUCUAAAACACUCGGCUCAGGUGCAACAAAUCCACAUAAAAGAAGAAGAAAACAAUGUAUAAUAUAUAUAGAUAUGUAUGUGUAUAUGUAUCAUACUGCAGAAACUUCUGAUUACAAGGCUCAGAUUUAGAUAAUCAGAGCAAAUGAGACAAUGCAAACGGCCUGGCUACAGAUCUCGGUUGCACUACUAAUCGCACCUUCCGGGUCGCCCCCACCAAGAUACGGACCCAGCUCCCUUACCCCGUGAGCUUUAAGACACGUCAAUCAUCACAGCCUCUCGUCCGUAAUACCAACAACAACAAACAACACCAAUAAUAACAAUAACAACAACUUCCAUGCCAGCAAAAACCCUUUUCAAGGAUGACGACGACAAUGAAGAAACAGUAAAGGGGUAAAUCGGUAUAAUCAGGACAAAGGAAACAAUGCAUCCGCCAUGGCUGCGGACCUCUUGUAUUACAAAUAGUACCUUCCAGGUCGCCCACGAAGAUACGGAAGCAGCUCCCUUACCCCAUGAAUUCUAGAUACCUUAAAUCAUCACAGCCUCUCAUCCGUAACAGCAACAACAACAAUAUCAACAACAUCAACGAGAAUUCAACGCCGAGCAUAUAUGAGGAGGAGGAGGAGGAACAGCGGAAAGGUCAAACCUUAGGCCCUAAACCCUUCAAUCCAGUAUGCAUGUUAAUUAAUAUAUAUAUAUAUACACACACACAAACAUAUAGAUCUGUAUACAUACUGCAGAAACUUCCAAUUUUAAGGUUCAGAUUUAUAUAAUCAGAGCAAAGGAUACGAUGCAUCUUCCAUGGCUGCAUCAUUCCGGGUCGCCCCGCCAAGAUACGGACCCAGCUUCCUUACCCCAUGAACUCUAGACAGCUUAAUCAUCCAAGCUAUCAUUCGUAACAGCAACAACAUCAACAUCAACAACCACAAUAUCAACCACGGCAAAAACCCUUCUACAAGGAUUUCAACAUCGACCAUAGAUGAGGAGGAGGAAGAAAAAGUAACAGCAAAAGGGUUUAAUCUUAAACCUUUCAUUUAUGUGUAUAUAUAAAAAAGAUUGAUGGAAGAUGAAUGUGAGUAUGUACACAUACUGCAGAAACUUCCUAUUUAAGGCUCAGAUAUUAUAAGCAGAGCAAAAAGGAAGAAACACAUCCGCCAUGGCUGCAGACCUUACUGGGUCGCCCUGACAAGAAUACGGAGUAAGCUCCAAAUACCCGACCCAACUCUAGACGGACUUCAUUAGUCAUCAUCACAGCCUCAAAGAUAAAAAGGAAGAGGUGAAGAAGCAGUAAUAUAUAUAUAUAUAUAUAUAUAUAAAUAUAAUCAGGCAAAGGAGAUAAUGCAUCAAACAUGUCUGCAGAACCUCAGUUGCUCUACAAAUAAGGCCUUCCGGCCGCCCCGCCAAGCUACGGGCAUAGCUCCGUUACUCCCUGAAUUCUAGACACCUCAAUCAUCACAGCCUCACAUUGUAACACCACCANN